RNAcentral lists this ribosomal RNA (256 nucleotides) under uncultured bacterium. RNAcentral describes it as "partial 16S ribosomal RNA". It matches the Rfam family "Bacterial small subunit ribosomal RNA", at positions 521 to 776 of the family's 1533-position model. The record is from RNAcentral.
UAAGACGAAGGAUGCAAGCGUUAUCCGGAUUCAUUGGGUUUAAAGGGAGCGUAGGUGGCCUUAUAAGUCAGUGGUGAAAUCUCUGGGCUUAACCCAGAAAUUGCCAUUGAUACUGUAGGGCUUGAGUACAGUUGCUGUGGGCGGAAUAUGACAUGUAGUGGUGAAAUACAUAGAGAUGUCAUAGAACACCGAUUGCGAAGGCAGCUCACAAAACUGUAACUGACACUGAGGCUCGAAAGUGCGGGGAUCAAACAGG